RNAcentral lists this ribosomal RNA (438 nucleotides) under Pseudomonas sp. R-38255. RNAcentral's name for it is "bacterial SSU rRNA". It matches the Rfam family "Bacterial small subunit ribosomal RNA", at positions 21 to 461 of the family's 1533-position model. The record is from RNAcentral. Lineage: Bacteria; Pseudomonadati; Pseudomonadota; Gammaproteobacteria; Pseudomonadales; Pseudomonadaceae.
GGCUCAGAUUGAACGCUGGCGGCAGGCCUAACACAUGCAAGUCGAGCGGUAGAGAGAAGCUUGCUUCUCUUGAGAGCGGCGGACGGGUGAGUAAUGCCUAGGAAUCUGCCUGGUAGUGGGGGAUAACGUUCGGAAACGGACGCUAAUACCGCAUACGUCCUACGGGAGAAAGCAGGGGACCUUCGGGCCUUGCGCUAUCAGAUGAGCCUAGGUCGGAUUAGCUAGUUGGUGGGGUAAUGGCUCACCAAGGCGACGAUCCGUAACUGGUCUGAGAGGAUGAUCAGUCACACUGGAACUGAGACACGGUCCAGACUCCUACGGGAGGCAGCAGUGGGGAAUAUUGGACAAUGGGCGAAAGCCUGAUCCAGCCAUGCCGCGUGUGUGAAGAAGGUCUUCGGAUUGUAAAGCACUUUAAGUUGGGAGGAAGGGUUGUAGAUU